Molecule: unclassified non-coding RNA, 461 nt
Filed under: Exostema nitens
Lineage: Eukaryota; Viridiplantae; Streptophyta; Magnoliopsida; Gentianales; Rubiaceae
Description: partial external transcribed spacer
Source: RNAcentral
UGGUUGGAUCCCUGCUUGGGCAGCGACAUCCCCCGUGCAAGCCUCUUCAAUUUUCGGCCCAAGGGCARCUUAGCCUUGGCCGUGUGUCGGUUUCCUGUGUUGUGUACCUACUAGAAUGGAAUUCGAAUGUGAGAUGCUUUCUUAUUCGCCUUGUGCUGUCCCAUCGGUUGUCCCUUUGGGGGUGCGGUGUCGGGUGAACCUCGAAGUCAUCUUCAUGUUCUUCGUCUCGCACGGAAUGUGUUGUUGGCGCGGCCCAUGAAGAUUGCUUGAGCUCUCGGAUACGGAAUAUGCGGAGGGUAGUAGGCUUACGGCCUCACUUUGCCCGAACUAAGCGUUUAUUCGCUCAUUACCGAACGACUGCCGGCGGUGCCUUGACGUGCUGGAGCCCUUGGGUUUUGGCACCGUCAUGCUCUGCCGGCGUCAGUAAGGAAUGCUACCUGGUUGAUCCUGCCAGUAGUCAU